GCCCGGAGAUAGCUGGUUCUCCCCGAAAUAGCUUUAGGGCUAGCCUCAAGGUGAGAGAUACGGAGGUAGAGCACUGAAUGUCCUAGGGGGUAUUGCACCUACCGAAGACUAUCAAACUCCGAAUGCCGUCAUCUUAUACUUGGGAGUCAGACUGUGGGUGAUAAGAUUCAUAGUCGAAAGGGCAACAGCCCAGAUCGUCAGCUAAGGUCCCUAAAUGUAAGUUAAGUGGUAAAGGAUGUGGGAUUGCACAGACAACCAGGAUGUUGGCUUAGAAGCAGCCACUCAUUCAAAGAGUGCGUAAUAGCUCACUGGUCGAGUGAUCCUGCGCCGAAGAUUUCCGGGGCUAAAACUUACUACCGAAGCUACGGCAUCAUUAUGAUGGGUAGGGGAGCUUCCCAUACGGGUUGAAGCAUGACCGUAAGGACAUGUGGACAGUAUGGGAGUGAGAAUGUUGGCAUGAGUAGCGAGAUGUGGGUGAGAAUCCCACAGGCCGUAAACCCAAGGUUUCCAGGGGAAGGUUCGUCCGCCCUGGGUUAGUCGGGACCUAAGCUGAGGCCGAAAGGCGUAGGUGAUGGACAACAGGUUGAUAUUCCUGUACUACCGAUAACCGUUUGAGAGAAGGGAUGACACAGUAGGAUAAGCUAAGCACACUGUUGGUUAUGUGUGCCCAAGCAUUGAGGCAGUCAAAGCAGGCAAAUCCGCUGUGACAAUGCUGGGAGGUGAUGGGGAUCGAAAUUUAGUAGCGAAGUAGGUGAUUACACACUGUCAAGAAAAGUCUCUAUCGAGGUUAAAGGUACCCGUACCGCAAACCGACACAGGUGGGUGAGGAGAGUAUCCGAAGGCCAGCGAGAGAACUGUUGUUAAGGAACUCGGCAAAAUGACCCCGUAACUUAGGGAUAAGGGGUGCCACCAUCCGGUGGCCGCAGAGAAUAGGCCCAAGCGACUGUUUACCAAAAACAUAGGUUUCUGCUAAGUCGCAAGACGAUGUAUAGGAGCUGACGCCUGCCCGGUGCUGGAAGGUUAAGGGGAUCUGUUAGAGCAA
Molecule: ribosomal RNA, 1042 nt
Filed under: Clostridioides difficile
Lineage: Bacteria; Bacillati; Bacillota; Clostridia; Peptostreptococcales; Peptostreptococcaceae
Description: bacterial LSU rRNA
Rfam family: Bacterial large subunit ribosomal RNA
Source: RNAcentral